Molecule: non-coding RNA, 30 nt
Filed under: Mus musculus (house mouse)
Lineage: Eukaryota; Metazoa; Chordata; Mammalia; Rodentia; Muridae
Source: RNAcentral
UCCAGGAAUAUUAUAUCUGCUACAUCCUCC